This 2769-nucleotide long non-coding RNA is filed under the name Sus scrofa (pig). Its description in RNAcentral is "lncRNA (ENSSSCG00060007842.1)". The stretch from base 48 to 113 matches the Rfam family "mir-1255 microRNA precursor family". The record is from RNAcentral. Lineage: Eukaryota; Metazoa; Chordata; Mammalia; Artiodactyla; Suidae.
CACUGAAUUGUUGUAAAUGAUAAAAUUUUCACAGAUGAGGAAUUGCUUCUUAUGGAUCAGAAAAGAAAGUGGUUUCUUGAGAUGGAAUCUACUCCUGAUGAAGAUGCUGUGAAGAUUUUUGAAAUAACAUCUGAGGAUUUAGAACAUUAUAUAACCUUAUUUCAUCAAGCAGCAGCAGGAUUUUAAAGGAUUGACUCCAAUUUUGAAAGAAAUUCCACUGAAGGUAAAAUGCUAUCAAACAGCAUUGCAUGAUGCAGAGAAAUCAUUCGUGAAAGGAAGAGUCAAUGGAUGCAACAAUUCAUUGUUGUCUUAUUUUAGAAGUUGCAACAGCCAUUCCAACCCUCAGCACCAUCAUCCUGAUCUGUCGGCAGCCAUCAACACGGAAGCAAGGCCCUCCACCUGCAAAAAGAUUAUAACCCAUUGAAGGCUCAGAUAAUCAGCAUUUUUUUUUUUUUUUAGCAAUAAAGGACUUUUAAAUUAAGGUAUAUACAUUGGGUUUAGGCAUAAUGUUAUUCACACCUAAUAUAAUGAACUCCCUAAACAUAACUUUUAUAUGCUCUGGGAAACCGAAAAUUUUUGUGACUUGCUUACUGUGAUAUUUGGUGUUUACCGGUGAUCUGGAACUAAACUCACAGUUAUCUCCCAGGUAUUUUUGUAUUGAAAGGGGGGAAAAAAAUCUGUCAACUUAGAAUUAUCUACCCAGCCAAAAAUGUAUUUCAAAAACAAGAGAGACUCUUUCGGACAUACAAAAACUAAGAGUUCAUUACCAGCAAGCCUGCACUGUAAGAACUAUCAAAACAAGUUCUUCAAGUAGGCAACUAUCAGAUGGAUAAACAGGGCUACAUAAAGGGAUGAAGAGCUCCAGAAAUGGUAACUAUUGGAAAAAUAUGUAAGAUUUCUUUUCUUUUUUGAAUCUCCUUAAAAGAAAACAUUUCAAUAACAAGAGCAACAAAAAACCCCAAACAAAUAACAAAAACACUUCAAUGUGGGGCAUAAAUAUUUGUAUACAAAACUAGCAGAUCCGUAAUUUCAAACUAAGGUAGACAAUUUAAGAAAAACCUCAUGAAUACAGAUCCAAAACUUCUUAAAAAUUUGAAAAACAAAUAAAGGCGCAGGGAGUUCCCAUCAUGGCACAGCAGAAAAACAAAUCUGACUAGGAACCAUGAGGUUAUGGGUUCCAUCCUUGGCUUCGCUCAGUGGGUUAAGGAUCCUUCGUUGCUGUGGCUGUGGUGUAGGCCGGCAACUGUAGCUCCGAUUGGACCCCUAGCCUGAGAACCUCCAUAUGCUGCAGGAGCAGCUCCCCUGAAAAAAAUAAAUACAUAAAAGUAAAGGCACGGUAUAUUAUGAAACAUUUUGUUUUGUUUUGUCUUUUUAGGGCCGCAACCUUCAACAGAUGGAGGUUCCCAGGCUAGGGGUCAAGUGGGAGCUGUAACCGCUGGCUUAUGUCACAGUCACAGCAACGCAGGAUCUGAGCCUCGUCUGUGAUCUAUGCCACAGCUCAUGGCAGCACCAGAUCCUUAACCCAGUGUGAUGCCAGUCAGGUUUGUUUCCGCUGAGCCACGAUGGGAACGCCUGAAGCAGUUUUUAUGCUGGGAUGUAAUGAUGGUUCAGGUUAAGAAAUCUGUGCCCAAAGUUUUCUAUGUUGAAGCUUUUUUCUUUUGGCCACAUCUGCAACAGAGAUGGAAUCCACACCACUGCAGUAACCAGAGUGACAGUAGUGACCACUGGAUCCUUAACCCACUAAGCCAUGAGGGAACUCCAAAGCCUCCUUUUUUUAUUCAGUCAUUUGACAAAUGUUCCUUCAUACAGUCCUCUGAAACUUACCGUGAUAUAUAUGCCAGGCACUGGAUACUGGGAAUUCAAUGCUGAAAAAGAUGAGGUCCUGGCCUUCAUGGAGUUGUCUAGAGAGAUGCAAAUAAAUAGAAAAUUAUAACACAGUUAAAAAAAAAAAGGCUAUGAUGAGAAAAAUACAGGGCACUAUGGGAGUACAUGAAUUGGUACUUCAACAUUAUGGUGCUGUUAGAAUGAACCUGUUGAGGUAAUGAUUGCUCAUUCUAGGAUGAUGGCCAUCAGCAGAGAGAUGAGGCUACACAAUAUAAUUAGAAAGUGAUAUGAAAUGUUCAAAUGAUUGAUUGGAGGUGGGAGUCAAAGAUUCUAUGAGGGGAUCUUGAUUUGUUACACAUAAGAUGGUAAAAUAAGGGUCAAGUAAGUUCGAAAAAUGCAAUUAGGUAUAAACAUUCUUUACUAUAGCACUUGUCAGAAGCUUUAUGGUGCCAUUGUCACUUUAAGAGAAAGUCAGUCUUAGUACAUUUUUAGUAAACAUUUGACUACAGAGCCCUGUUAUUUUGCAGAACACCUUGUGAGAGUAGUUUCAUGCAACACACUCUGGGAGAAAACGCUCUCCACAGGAAACAGUCUCUUCCUUUCUACUCCUGCAGCUCCCAGAACCUUGGUGAAUUGUCUCACCAGCUGUAUUCAGUUCUUUGUCCUAUCCCUUUACACAAUACAUUUAUUUAGUUUGGUUACUUUUGACUGGGUGAGACUAAAGUAAAAAAGAUUCACUGGAACCUCACAAGGGGUGUCCCAAAAGCCAUUAAAAAAGAAAAAGAUUAUUCUGAACCAGGGACACCUGUGAAUCAAUAUGAAUGGAUGACCCACAGAUAAGUUGCAAUAAAGCAGUAUUAGUAUUUGUUAAUAUCUACAAAUGCUACCAAAUACAUUUUCUUAUAGGUAAGACACCUGAAAACAGGCUCCUGGGAAACAAAUCCU